GAGUUCCCCUCCGCGGUUGGGUUUCAAGCGCCUGCAGUGCAAUCACCAGCGAAAUGCGCAAAGAGAAGACCCAUGGAAGCAGAAAGGGAAGAGUAUCGUCGCAAUUAAGAUACGCCAAAGUACCGGAAAGCGGCACGCUGCAACUCUCAAAUGGAAAAUUAAUGGGCAAAGAAAUGGGAGAUAAACAGUUGCUGCUGAGGAUUUGUGCCGUUACUUUGCUGACAGCUGUACUGCUGUUGUCAUGCUCAAGGACGGCAGGCAGGGAGCCUCUCCACUGAUGACGGAUAUCAGAGCAGCUUAAAACAAGCAGCUUGAAGCACAUCGGAACAAAACGAUAAUGAUCAGGAAAGCCAAGAGCUCUGGAGUACCAGGACUGCCCUCUCAUACCAGAACUAGAUAAAUACCGGAGAGCACGGUGCAUGCUUUUGAAAAACAGCUGAACUGACUGCAUGGUGAACUUCCACUUGCUACGGUGAAGUGCUGGCUGGGGACGGGGAUCGUCGGGCCACAGCACAGGCUGCCCACGGACAGCAACGGGAGAUGAGGAAAGGCGUGCUCGUCGAAUUUGGCUCAAGGUAGACUUUCACAUUGGUUAUUCUCCCCAUGUUACGAGGAAGCUUUACUUCCUUAAACGGAACAGUACUGCAGAAAGCAAAGGGGGGCGGGGGGAGAUGUUAAAAUUCUGCGCAGCAUUUUGCACACCCCUUCAAGUAGCCUACUGAAGGGAGAAGCUUAUCCUUCUGUCCAUUCGAAUGGCGCUCUGCACAGGGAAGCUAAUCCUGGGUAAGCUAGGAUCUGAAUUUACAGCAAUCUGGCCGCUGAACGAGAACUUCUAAACUUGGCAUACUCAGUCCUGAACGAGAAGGACCUCCAGAAGUGUACUGGGCUACACCACGACAGAUAAAUGAUGCCACCAAGCACACGGUGCAGGCCAGCUCGGAUGAUGGAAAUUCUCAUCCCAGCUUCCUCUGCAUUCAGUUCCCCUGACAGAAAAGCUUUACACCCUCAGCUAGAUGAGGUAUGAAAGGACUUCACUGCAAGGUAAGAAAAAGGACCAAAAAAAAAAAACCAAA
Molecule: long non-coding RNA, 1073 nt
Organism: Aquila chrysaetos chrysaetos
Lineage: Eukaryota; Metazoa; Chordata; Aves; Accipitriformes; Accipitridae
Exons: 2
Source: RefSeq, a predicted model, not a curated record